AUUCAGUUGACGACUCCCAAACAGGAGGAAACACGCGUCUUGGAU
RNAcentral lists this non-coding RNA (45 nucleotides) under Schistosoma curassoni. The record is from RNAcentral. Lineage: Eukaryota; Metazoa; Platyhelminthes; Trematoda; Strigeidida; Schistosomatidae.